AGCGAACGCUGGCGGCAGGCUUAACACAUGCAAGUCGAGCGGAUGUAGCAAUACAUCAGCGGCAGACGGGAGAGUAACACGUGGGAACGUACCCUUCAGUUCGGAACAACCCAGGGAAACUUGGGCUAAUACCGGAUACGUCCGUAAGGAGAAAGAUUUAUCGCUGAAGGAUCGGCCCGCGUCUGAUUAGCUAGUUGGUGAGGUAACGGCUCACCAAGGCGACGAUCAGUAGCUGGUCUGAGAGGAUGAUCAGCCUCACUGGGACUGAGACACGGCCCAGACUCCUACGGGAGGCAGCAGUGGGGAAUAUUGGACAAUGGGCGCAAGCCUGAUCCAGCCAUGCCGCGUGGGUGAUGAAGGCCCUAGGGUUGUAAAGCUCUUUGUGCGGGAAGAUAAUGACGGUACCGCAAGAAUAAGCCCCGGCUAACUUCGUGCCAGCCGCCG
RNAcentral lists this ribosomal RNA (444 nucleotides) under uncultured bacterium. Its description in RNAcentral is "bacterial SSU rRNA". It matches the Rfam family "Bacterial small subunit ribosomal RNA", at positions 29 to 517 of the family's 1533-position model. The record is from RNAcentral.